Clostridiales bacterium PH28_bin88 is the source of this 112-nucleotide ribosomal RNA. The record is from Rfam. Lineage: Bacteria; Bacillati; Bacillota; Clostridia; Eubacteriales.
UCUGGUGGUAAUGGCGGAGGGGUCACACCCGUUCCCAUGCCGAACACGGAAGUUAAGCCCUCCAGCGCCGAUGGUACUGGGUUUUACCCGGGAGAGUAGGUCACUGCCAGAA